This 671-nucleotide ribosomal RNA is filed under the name actinobacterium 00YJX. RNAcentral's name for it is "bacterial SSU rRNA". It matches the Rfam family "Bacterial small subunit ribosomal RNA", at positions 195 to 877 of the family's 1533-position model. Lineage: Bacteria; Bacillati; Actinomycetota; Actinomycetes. The record is from RNAcentral.
GGGGGUUGAAAGCUCCGGCGAAGAAGGAUGAGCCCGCGGCCUAUCAGCUUGUUGGUGGGGUAAUGGCCCACCAAGGCGACGACGGGUAGCCGGCCUGAGAGGGCGACCGGCCACACUGGGACUGAGACACGGCCCAGACUCCUACGGGAGGCAGCAGUGGGGAAUAUUGCACAAUGGGCGAAAGCCUGAUGCAGCGACGCCGCGUGAGGGAUGACGGCCUUCGGGUUGUAAACCUCUUUCAGCAGGGAAGAAGCGAGAGUGACGGUACCUGCAGAAGAAGCGCCGGCUAACUACGUGCCAGCAGCCGCGGUAAUACGUAGGGCGCAAGCGUUGUCCGGAAUUAUUGGGCGUAAAGAGCUCGUAGGCGGCUUGUCACGUCGGAUGUGAAAGCCCGAGGCUUAACCUCGGGUCUGCAUUCGAUACGGGCUAGCUAGAGUGUGGUAGGGGAGAUCGGAAUUCCUGGUGUAGCGGUGAAAUGCGCAGAUAUCAGGAGGAACACCGGUGGCGAAGGCGGAUCUCUGGGCCAUUACUGACGCUGAGGAGCGAAAGCGUGGGGAGCGAACAGGAUUAGAUACCCUGGUAGUCCACGCCGUAAACGUUGGGGAACUAGGUGUUGGCGACAUUCCACGUCGUCGGGUGCCGCAGCUAACGCAUUAAGUUCCCCGCCUGGG